AUGAUAAGGCCACACAGUCCAAGAACAGAGGAACCAGGGGGAGGGGGAGAAGUGCCGCACCGGCGGUUGGCGCCGGUGGGGGUUGAUGUGCUUUUCGAGAGCCAGGCAGCAGGGAAGAAGCACGGGUCGUGGGGGUGCAUCACCGGUGGCAGGUGCCUGUGGAGGGAAGAAGGUCGAUGUGGCAGUUGCUGGAAGGUCGCGGCGGCAGGUGGAGCAAGUUCGCGCGGGGGCGCAAUCCGAAUCGUGGGACUGUGGAGGCGGCCCAAUCCGGGGCCAGAGACGAUGGUGGUGGCGCGAUCUGCGUCGAAGGACGAUGGUGGCGCAGCGGAGGAGGAGGCCAGAGGCCAGUUCUCAGAUCCGAGGCUACCAUCGAUGUCUCGAUGCAGUACGUGGUCGGAGUAG
This 402-nucleotide ribosomal RNA is filed under the name Triticum aestivum (bread wheat). Its description in RNAcentral is "partial small subunit ribosomal RNA". Lineage: Eukaryota; Viridiplantae; Streptophyta; Magnoliopsida; Poales; Poaceae. The record is from RNAcentral.